This is a non-coding RNA of Taeniopygia guttata (zebra finch), 397 nucleotides long. The record is from RefSeq and is a predicted model, not a curated record. Lineage: Eukaryota; Metazoa; Chordata; Aves; Passeriformes; Estrildidae.
CUCCGGGGGUGGCAGGCGGCCGGGAAGAGCGCAAAGUGCGGGAAGCGGAGGCCCUACAGCAUGUGUCCUGGGAGGCCAAGUCCUGCUGGACACCUCAGCAUCUCAGCAGGAUAGAAGGCAAAAUGUGGUAGCAACAGAGGUAUGGCAAGACUUGAAGACUGAGUUAAAAGCAAGUGGGAGAAAACCAGACACAUUGUAAGUUGUAAAACUUCCUUAUUUGAUGUGCAUAUUUCUCAUCAUGACAGUUUUUCUAGCUACUUUCUACCUGUCAUUAACCAUCUCUAACCACCUUUUUUUCUGAAGAAGUCCACACUGAUGAUAUAAAGUCGUGGACAUUGACUACUAUGCUUUGGCUAUUUAGGUUCCAGGGGUGAGUGAGAUGCUCAACAGCAGAAAA